RNAcentral lists this long non-coding RNA (1656 nucleotides) under Ficedula albicollis (Collared flycatcher). RNAcentral describes it as "lncRNA (ENSFALG00000023737.1)". Lineage: Eukaryota; Metazoa; Chordata; Aves; Passeriformes; Muscicapidae. The record is from RNAcentral.
CCCCCCCCCCCCCCUCCGAGCCGGGCCGGACCGAGCCGGGCCGGACCGAGCCCUGCCGCUCCGAGCCCUGCCGGGGUCGGUCCUCGCCCGCAGCCGCUCGGGGACGGCGCUCCCCGGCCUCUCUCUCCGGCUCCCUCGUCACUCGCCGUGUCUCCCCGCCGCUGAAUUUCAGCCCCGCGGGAGCAGGGGCGAUGGUCGCUGGCAGCCCGGCAUCGUCCGGCCCGGCCUCUUGCCCUCUCUCACCUCCCUUCUCCCCGAGGAACCUCCUUUGCUCGUCUUCUCCUCUGUCGGUCCGCAAGUGCAUCAGUAAUCCCUGCUGCGGCUGCUGCUGCGGCUGCACCUGCGAACGGCAGGAUCUGCAAGUUAUUUCUGCGCCGCUAAAGCCAUAAGUGAAGAGGAAAAGCCAUGUCCAGUACAGGAGAGCAACGUGCCAGGCUGGGUACCGGCCAGCAACUUUUUCCAUCGCUGCCACUGCUGAUGAGUGCGAGGGAGAAAGAGCAGGGAGGAGAGCGCAGGAGCGAGGGAGCCGGGCGCUGCCGAUUGAGCCGCCGCGGGGAACACGGCGAGAACUCCACGGAAAGUUUCAGACUCUUCUGUGCUAGAUGCAGCCGAGGGGGCAUUUCAGAAAAUGAUUUACAGAUUUGUUCCACAUUCUUCUAGAGAUUUCACUCAAAUGCUCACUGGUGACACGUCUUGGGAUAUUAGCACAAGACCAGAGGUGAAGGGAGACUCACAGUAAUUCAGGCUGGGCAUAACUUCAUGCUGCUUACAACAAUGAUGGAUUGUCUGCAGUGUAACCACCUGACCUCAGCUAAAUCUACCAAUUAACUGCAUACCUGUUUCCACAUCUCCCAGCUAAAUGGUUACUAUUAGUUACAGCCUGUCGGGUAAUAACAAUAAUAAAAAUGCACUUUAAACACACUUAAAGCUCCUUUCCUUUGCUAAGCCCAAAGCUCCUCACAAAGGCCACUUUUGUUGUAUAAAUGGAGGAAACUGAGUCACAGUAUGAUCAGCAAAGUAGUAAUCAUUGGAGGUGGAGCUACCUUGUUAUCAACCCAAUCCUUUAUCUUCUAUACAACAGAUGGACCAGGUGGAUCUAUCCCAGAGGAUCAAAUAAAAAGCAUCACCUCCCCAGCACCAGUCUCUUAAGGAGCCUUUAAUCUAAAGGAAUGAAAUUUAGGCAUUAAUAGGUGAGACAGAAAAAGAACUUGGAAGAAGGAAAUGAGCAAGAGGUCAGAGGGAAUUUCUCUUGGGAUUGUAAUAGAGAUCUGAAUGCCAAUGUGUGGCUAAGGCUAAGGAGAGGAACAAUCUAGCUUUCUCAUUUAGGCAGAUGAUUAUCUCUGGGUUUUGAUGAGUGGCCAGUGAGAGAUACGGAUGUGCCUGGGGGAGCACACCUGUGAACUCACUACACCCACAGAGCACUUCAGCAAAUGCACAAGAAUCAGUCAUGGAGAGAAAAUACUGGAUCCAACCUGAGGACCAGAGACACAUUUUCCAGCACACACCUUGUUGUGGGUGGAUGUAGGACAGGCACAUACAGUGUGAGCCUUCCCCUGAGCCCUGUUUUCAGGCAUUGUCAGUUAGGAGAUCCCAACAACAGCAGAAACUGCACCUGAUCCCUUACUUUUAAUAAGCAAUUAUGUAGAAGGACUUUUA